This 253-nucleotide ribosomal RNA is filed under the name uncultured bacterium. RNAcentral's name for it is "partial 16S ribosomal RNA". It matches the Rfam family "Bacterial small subunit ribosomal RNA", at positions 524 to 776 of the family's 1533-position model. The record is from RNAcentral.
UACGAAGGGGGCUAGCGUUGCUCGGAAUCACUGGGCGUAAAUGGUGCGUAGGCGGGUUUUUAAGUCAGGGGUGAAAUCCUGGAGCUCAACUCCAGAACUGCCUUUGAUACUGAAGAUCUCGAGUCCGGGAGAGGUGAGUGGAACUGCGAGUGUAGAGGUGAAAUUCGUAGAUAUUCGCAAGAACACCAGUGGCGAAGGCGGCUCACUGGCCCGGUACUGACGCUGAGGCACGAAAGCGUGGGGAGCAAACAGG